AUGCAUCUAUUGACAACCUGAGAAGUUAUUGUUUGCCACUAAGAUUUCCACUGCAGAUGCAAGAAAGAAGUGUCCUUGCGUUUCCUGUCUGAUUGUGGCAGCCAACAUUGAAUGGGGGAAUACAGGA
RNAcentral lists this small nucleolar RNA (127 nucleotides) under Cercocebus atys (sooty mangabey). RNAcentral describes it as "Small nucleolar RNA SNORA31 (ENSCATG00000001251.1)". Lineage: Eukaryota; Metazoa; Chordata; Mammalia; Primates; Cercopithecidae. The record is from RNAcentral.